UACGUAGGGUGCAAGCGUUGUCCGGAAUUAUUGGGCGUAAAGAGCUCGUAGGCGGUCUGUCGCGUCGGCUGUGAAAACCCGGGGCUCAACCCCGGGCCUGCAGUCGAUACGGGCAGACUAGAGUGCGGUAGGGGAGACUGGAAUUCCUGGUGUAGCGGUGAAAUGCGCAGAUAUCAGGAGGAACACCGGUGGCGAAGGCGGCCUGCUGGGCAGUAGCUGGACACUGAGGCGCGACAGCGUGGGGAGCAAACAGG
RNAcentral lists this ribosomal RNA (254 nucleotides) under uncultured bacterium. Its description in RNAcentral is "partial 16S ribosomal RNA". It matches the Rfam family "Bacterial small subunit ribosomal RNA", at positions 524 to 776 of the family's 1533-position model. The record is from RNAcentral.